Molecule: non-coding RNA, 97 nt
Organism: Caenorhabditis elegans
Lineage: Eukaryota; Metazoa; Nematoda; Chromadorea; Rhabditida; Rhabditidae
Source: Ensembl
CGCUUUUAAUAGAUUCAGCCAGUAAUUUGCCUAAUUUUUGAGAAAUCUUCAGAUGAUGUUCUGAAUGUUAAUUAGUUUGAUGAAUCUAUUUUUGAAA